RNAcentral lists this unclassified non-coding RNA (364 nucleotides) under uncultured Chloroflexota bacterium. Its description in RNAcentral is "uncultured Chloroflexi bacterium contains 16S-23S intergenic spacer region". The record is from RNAcentral. Lineage: Bacteria; Bacillati; Chloroflexota.
UCCGGGUUGGUCCCGGCGGUCCGAGCAGACAGCGUAACUGCUCGCGGGGGUUGCGCUCGUUGCGGGACUUAACCCAACACCUCACGGCACGAGCUGACGACAGCCGUGCAGCACCUGUGCACGCUCCCUCGCGGGUCCCUUCCCUUUCGGGUCGGUACCACGUGCAUGUCAAGCCCGGGUAAGGUUCUUCGCGUUGCAUCGAAUUAAACCACACGCUCCGCUGCUUGUGCGGGCCCCCGUCAAUUCCUUUGAGUUUUAGCCUUGCGGCCGUAGUCCCCAGGCGGGGCACUUAUUGCGUUGGCUGCGGCACCGGGGGGGUCGAUACCCCCGACACCUAGUGCCCAUCGUUUACGGCGUGGACUAC